This is a long non-coding RNA of Triticum dicoccoides, 2359 nucleotides long. RefSeq lists it as uncharacterized. NCBI's taxonomy places the organism in Eukaryota, Viridiplantae, Streptophyta, Magnoliopsida, Poales, Poaceae. The record is from RefSeq and is a predicted model, not a curated record. The transcript has 6 exons.
CCCAGGCUGCGUCAGUCAAACACUAGCUCUCUUUCUCCCAAUUCCCACAGCCGCCGCGCCUGGCACACCUCCCUCCUCCACUCACCCCCGCACCCCACCUUUCCCCGCCGAGCCAGCCGCGCAUGGGCGCUCUUGGAUCGGGAGCUGCGAUGAAGCUGGGGUUCGGGCACGUUGCAUCGGAGGCUGCACUCCACCUCUUCCUCGUGGUGCGGCGGACAGCGGCUCUUGCGGUCAUGCGGCCAACGGUGGCCUCAGCGGGCUCUCCAUCCCUGCUCCUCAUUCGGCUCCUCUUCUCCAUGCCUCCGCCGCCUCCUCCUUUUCCCCGUCCCUCACGGCCACCUCGCCCCCUCCGCCUUCAGCACCUCCUCCUUCCCUUCCUCUCCUCCUUCCCUGCCUCCAGAUCCAGCCAGUUAACUCUGGAGGGGAGCCGACCUACAGGUAAAGGGCGACGGCGGCGCUGCUCGAGCAGAUGAGAGGGAGAGAGAAGGACAUGGUGGCACAUGACAGGGGGCAUGUGGCACGGUGGUGAGCGUCUUCGGGAUUGGCGGCGACCUGCGGGCAAAGGGUGACGACUGGGGUGCUUGAUUCGAUCCAGCGCCAUGAGCCAGUACUUGCUGGAGAGAGAGCAGAUGAGGGAAAGAGAGAAGGAGAGGAGGGAGAAAGGCAGAGGAAAGAGGAGAGGGAGCUGCAACGGCAGAUGGGAGAUGAACACGAUCUGGGGCCAGCCAUUCGCAUCUCUCCUCCUCUCCUGCUAUUUCGCUCGAGUGUUUCUCCUUCCCAAAUCUGGUUGUAUGAUCUGGCCCAUUAUUGCGUCUCCAUUCUGUUCGUUGCUUCGUCUCCGUUUUUCUCGUCAAGGACAAAUUAGGCCUCGGCCAAUGGUGGAGAAGACAGACUACAUGGACGAGCCGCUGGAGCACGUGUUCAUGGGAUGUUCACGCGCAAGAUGCAGAAGUUCACCGUAAGGAAGAAGAGCUGGCCGGUGAGGAUGAGGAGAAGGCAAGAUGCGAGGUGCUUGCACGCGCAGCAGCAGGAGGCCGUCCAUGAGGUGCUCCUCUGGAUUCUCCCUUCUGGCGUGGGCCUAGGUGUUCAACGCUGCCCUCACCAUCCCCUUCUUCCAUUGGCUCAUCGGCCUGUCAGAGGUUAUUGAGGUGGAGGUCAACGGUGUGAGGCGGAGAAGUGGAGUGCUUAUAAAGAAACACAGCUGCUGCCUGGAUUCGCCGCUGCCGCCUCCAGUCGCUUCCUCCUGGGCAUCCCGUCUCUAGCAAGGUCCUCUAGCUAUAGUCAUGGAAAAGAUGGUGUUCGGAGCUAUAUCUUGGAAAAUAUUUCUUGUCAUUCCAUUAAAUUUCUGAGGUAACAAUUUUCCAUCGCUUCUAGACCAUAGUGCGUUCCAUAAAUAGCUUGCGUAUAGUAUUAUAAAUGUACUCUUUUCCUUUAUUUAGAUAAGGUAUUUUAAUGUGUCCUAUUCUCCAUAUGCAGUUAGUGUAUAAAAGCUGCUAAUUUUUGCCUUCUGUACUUCGUUAGAAAAUGCUGCUGAAGGUAAGAGUAGGACAAUGCUAGAUAUAACUGAUGCUAAUAUACUGCUGAAGGUAGGAAUAUGAUGGCAUGCCCAUAAUUUCAGGAUGAUUAAGAGGCUGGUUAAGGCCAGAAAUAAAUUGACCGGGUAACUAAAUUAAGAAGUACUAUCAACCUAUUCUCCUUUAGGCUAUCAUCUUUCUUCUGUUGGAAAUUAUCAUCUCCUUUAGGCUAUCCUCUUUCUUCUGUUGGAAAUUAUUGUCUCCUAUUCAUUCUGUGAACUUCCGCACAAAUGACACUCAGUUUUCAAGUUGUUCUUUCCAUUUUAUUUAAGGAGCUCCUUCAGUUAGUAUGCUUGAAUAUUACAAAUCUUUAAAUUUGCACUUUGUUCGUAUAUGUCCGACAUGCCUUAAAGUUCUUGCUAGAAGGUUAGAAAUGGAGGAGCUGGACAUGGAUGGCGAGAAGGCGGCCAAACCCGAGUUUGCCUACCCCUACUGCUAUGAGGACCAUGAGGUCGCCUCCUUGUGCGCGCAUGUAGAAGAGGAGCACCCAUUGGAGUGGAGAUAUAGUUUGCACAAUGUUCUGGUCCAGCAAAGUAUUUUUGAUGUGCAAAAGAGUAGUAGGGUUUUUGGCAUGUCUUGGGGUAGAAAAUUAAUAUUGAUCUAUCAUCAUAUCUGCACACAUAAUCUAUUCUAUGAUUGUUUACCUCUUUAGUCUACUGUUGUUAGAUGACGAACUUAUGCUAUUUUAUGCCAAGUAGUUAAAUUUGUGCGCAUCUUCUCAUGGAUCAUACUUAGAUUUUGCAACUGUGGCCCAUAGGGCCAUGCUAAUUAGUGCUAGCCAUGAU